CACGAGAUUGUAAGUUAGUACCUAAGAGCUAAAUUUUGAGAAUAAAUGAAUAGAAAAAAGAAGGGACCCAAGAAAGGAAAGAAAAACAUGAAAUGUACAAGGAAAAAAGGUGAAAAGAAAAUGCUUUCCAAAAGAUGGGUGAAUCAAUGUAGUAAAGAUAGGCACAUGUGUAAAGAGUGAAAACAAGAGAAGUGACCCAUGGUCAAAAGUUGGAUGAAAAAGUGUAAUGUAGAUGUUCAAGGAGGGUAUAGCCAGUUUGUUCCUAAAUGAUAUCCUACCCUAUGCCAAACCUACAUUACAAGAUCAAAAAGCCCUCCGAGAUCUCCAACCAAGUGUAUUCAUUGUAGUGGCGAUUGAAAAUAGGGGCAAG
This 370-nucleotide long non-coding RNA is filed under the name Capsicum annuum. Its description in RNAcentral is "long non-coding RNA (CANN_LNC013797)". The record is from RNAcentral. Lineage: Eukaryota; Viridiplantae; Streptophyta; Magnoliopsida; Solanales; Solanaceae.